RNAcentral lists this long non-coding RNA (1937 nucleotides) under Mus musculus (house mouse). RNAcentral describes it as "long non-coding RNA chr13:93358588-93360525". Lineage: Eukaryota; Metazoa; Chordata; Mammalia; Rodentia; Muridae. The record is from RNAcentral.
UUUUAAAAGAAAACUAGGACAGUUAUGAUGGCCAUACUCACGGCACAUAGUGAAAAGAGCAAAAGCCAAACAGAUAAAAGUAUAAGGAUAGGGACCCAGUCAGUCAUGUGACCUGAGAUGGCAGCUGCUGGUGCUUUCCUUAAGAGUCAUAUUUUAUCCUAUGUCUAGAAUCAGUAAUUAGUAAAGAAGCUAUUAUGACUUUUAGGCUUGACAAUUUUAGUAAUUUGGUGAAAGUCUAUUCUGUACUUGUAAGAUUUAUUUUUAAAUUAUUUUGAUUUAGGAAUACAAGAAAGUUUUUUGUUUUUAAUUAUAAUUUAAUAUAAGGUUUUCAGAUUGCACAGACAGACUACAAUAAUAGACUCCAAUGGAAGUACCACUUCGGCCUUAACAGUCAGGGAAAAAGCAUGGCCAGUCUUACUUUAUCAGUGCACUCACCUUGUUCUCUACUAAUGUGUUAUUAUUGCAUGUUGAGAUGCAACUGCAGGUCUUUACACAUGAUAGGUGUGCCCUGCACCAAGUGAGCCACACUCCUAGACUUACCAUUUCAUUAUUUUAAUUUUAUAUUUUAUGUGUAUGGGUGUUUUGCAUACAGGCAUGUCGAUGCCUGGUGCCCACAGGAUCCAGAAGAGGGUGUCAGAUUAACUAAAACUGGAGUCAUAGAUGGUUGUGAGCUACCAUAUGGGUGCUGGAAACGGAAGCUAAGUCCUUUACAGGAGCAACUAGUGCUCUUAACCACUGAGCCAACUCUCCACCUACAUUGUUUUAUUUUUAAAGCAAAUCCUACAUACAUAUUUUCAUCUACAAUAUUUUCUUAAAAUUAUCUUGAACUCUUGAUGAAAUGUCUAUACUAAGCUAAUUCAGUUUUUAUCUUACCUAAUUCCAUGGCAUACUGCCUUAUCUUGAAUCAUUUACUCCUCUCUUUGGUUUUUAAAAACUAUACUGCUAAAUUAAAUGUAAACAUGGGUUCGUAUAUACUUUCAGUUAAGAGCUGUAGUACUGUUUUAUGUCCUCGUCAUAGCUAUGCAAUAAUAGUCUCAUCAGAUACAUUUCAAGGAGUGAUCACUCUUUGGUGUACUUCUUUAGACGCUGUCAGAAGCUUAGGAUGUGUGGAACAGGAGGACUGUGACUGUAAAUGCUUACUAAUCGCUUUGAGAGAGUGUUAUUAAAUCUUUUCUAAAUUGCUUUUUUCUUUAAAAUUAUUUUUAACUUAAAUGAUAAUUACCUUUUGAGGUUGAACAGAAGCUCAUUAACAAACUACAGUGACUUUUUAGGGUGCUCUUUGAGAGCAUAGUCUUAUAUCUGGGGACUAAAAUGUCAUUAGACCCUAAUAGACCAAGUUAUAUGUUUGUGUAGGAAAAAGGUUUCCUCUCUCGUUCAAGGUAAUUGUUUGCUUCCUGGUGUCAUUUGUGUAGAAUUCUAGAAAGUGGUUGGAUUUUUAAAAAUUAGAUUUAAGACAGCCUAAAUUCUCUUAGAAGUAGUUAGUUUUAUAUUAUUGUAGUGUUAUUGGAAUGUGAUCCUGAAAUAUAUUACUGAAAAUUAAAAUUUUUAUUUUGUUAAUUGCAAUCUUGGCUCUCAGAAAUGCAGUAUAAUAUUGAUAUAUAGCUGCUAUCAUCUUUCUGAGAGUUCAGAACAUAUGGCAGCUGUUUGUGAAGCUAUUUUUUACUGACAAAUUUUGAUAAGUUUGGCUACUGUAAUGGAAAGUAGGCUUUCUUAAGCACUGACUACAUUUGGAUUCUUGUAAAGUUUGGAUAAUACAUUCUCAGGUGCUGCUGGACUUUGUGCACUUUGGAGGUACUGCAUGUAUCUUCCACUGUUUGAGAUGUUUCUGUGGCUUGUGUGUUUGCAACAACUCAUUAAAGGUGUAUGCAGAAAUAUUUUCUAGUAUAUUGAUUUUUGCUGUAUAACAGUAUAAUAAUAAACACGGGUUGAUUCACCCC